Long non-coding RNA from Cygnus atratus (black swan), 534 nucleotides. RefSeq lists it as uncharacterized. The transcript is spliced from 3 exons. The record is from RefSeq and is a predicted model, not a curated record. Lineage: Eukaryota; Metazoa; Chordata; Aves; Anseriformes; Anatidae.
CACAAUACAAGAUGACGCAGGUGGACACCAUCACAGGACGAAGCUGCAGGAACUAUGCCUGCCGUGCUGCUGCAGGUACUGAGCUGCUUCCUUUAUCCGAGAGCUAAAUGAAAACAGACGAACUGAAAGCAAGAGUGCCUUCGCAGCAUGCAUGUUAGCAGUUAUGUCAACAGAGCUCCAUGAUUCACUUCAUGUGGUUUUCUGUGACAGCAUCCUCCUGCUUCUAGAAGCUCAGAGAACUCAGAGAACUAAUGGCACAAAACACUGGUGAGGCAUUUCUGAAAUGUGAAAGCACGUCACACAGACGGCAUGGGGAGAUCACACAGAGUGCAGAGACCUUUGAUGUCUUCCUCCGGAACCAGAGGCAGGAGAAAUGCCCGCUGGUACACGCGUCCUGAGGGGGAAGAAUAUAUUCUUUGCAAUGUCUGGAGGAACCACAGCAUAACGGAUUCGUUUGAUGUUUUCCCCGGUUAUUGUUCACGAGGCCAACUGAAGUCAUCUGCCACCUGCAGAGCUGCAGGUGCAGCGUCGUGG